GGGGGAGUGGUAUAAUGGUAUUACACGGGUCUCCAAAACCUUAGAUCGGGGUUCGAUUCCUCGCUCCUCUGCCA
This 74-nucleotide transfer RNA is filed under the name Porticoccaceae bacterium. RNAcentral's name for it is "tRNA-Trp". It matches the Rfam family "tRNA". From Rfam's summary of the family: Transfer RNA (tRNA) molecules are approximately 80 nucleotides in length. Their secondary structure includes four short double-helical elements and three loops (D, anti-codon, and T loops). The record is from RNAcentral. Lineage: Bacteria; Pseudomonadati; Pseudomonadota; Gammaproteobacteria; Cellvibrionales; Porticoccaceae.